Gossypium arboreum is the source of this 392-nucleotide long non-coding RNA. RefSeq lists it as uncharacterized. Lineage: Eukaryota; Viridiplantae; Streptophyta; Magnoliopsida; Malvales; Malvaceae. The record is from RefSeq and is a predicted model, not a curated record. The transcript is spliced from 2 exons.
AAUAAAAGAAUAAAAGAAUGAAAUAAAAAGAAACAAACAGAAUAAGAAACAGAGAGCAUUCGAAAAACAGAGGAAGAAAAGGGAAAGAAAAGAAAAAAGGAAAAUUGGGAUUUUGAAGCUUCAAACUUGUUUGCUAACAAGGAAAACGAGGCAUCGGCAUCCAAAGGAAAAGAAAAGAUCGUUGAGGAGUAAAUUCGUAUUUCGGAUUUGUAUUACUAUAACUCAAAUUAUUUAUUAAAUGGACAUUGAAUUUAUAGUUAUGGAAUAAUUAAGAUAAGGUAAGUAUUAUAUUUAAAUUUAAAUAUAAGUAUGUGUGAAAAUUAAUUUGUAUAUGAAUUAAGAUAACAGAUAUUUGAAUUGAUUGAGUAUUGAAAAUUUUUGUGUAAAUGAAA